This 11690-nucleotide long non-coding RNA is filed under the name Gossypium barbadense (sea-island cotton). Its description in RNAcentral is "long non-coding RNA (GBAR_LNC019665)". Lineage: Eukaryota; Viridiplantae; Streptophyta; Magnoliopsida; Malvales; Malvaceae. The record is from RNAcentral.
AAAAAAUAGAAAAGACUGUUUGCUAUAACAAGGGGAAAAAAACAAGAGUCAACUUUAGAAUGUAUAUUGUUUGCUAACGUGGGUUAACCUCCAUCUUUAAACAUUGGUGUCUGUUCUGGUCUAAAUUAUUGCCAACAAACUGCCAGUCUUUUCUGUCUUUCAUCUUUCCUUAUUUUAAGCACUGUAGCACCCCUUAUUCUCCUUCCUCUAUAAAUCCCUCCUUCGCUCUCCAACCUCGCCAGACCCCCAAUUCCUCUAUCCUUAACAAUAUUAUCCUUCAACCACCAAAACCCAUACUCAAAAACCACUCAAAAACAGCUCUUUUUUUUUCAAUAAACUUUUAGAGAUGAUGAAAGAGAUGGGAUGCAAGCACAACUGGGGUGCAGUGGCACCUGCACGUCUCGUUUCGACAAGAAAAUCUUCAACUUGUCCAAUGCUAGAGACCAUUGUUGAAGAAGGGUGUGAAAAUGAAUCAAUUUUCACUAAGAAAAUCUUCCUUUACCUUCCCGUGGUGUUGUCCACGGUUUUCUAUUUCUUGCUAUACAAGGAGGUGACGCGUUGUGCAUGAGCCUUCUCCAACUCCAAUGCGGUUUUAUUGCAUGAACCUGUGGCUCUAGUUUGCUUUGCUUCACCGAGGCUUUGAAAGAUUUAAGAGUUUUGGGCUAAUUUCCUGAAGCAUGGAAAUCAACAAGCAAAAGAGAGAAAAAAAAAAUCCAAUGCUUAAGGAGAGAUCAAUGAUGAAUAAGUUCAUAAAGCAUUGUAAUCUGUGACAAUUAGUUGUGUUCGGUCAAUGAUUUUUGGCAAACCUUCUGUGGAAUGUUCCAAAUUUUGUAGUUAUGUUUUCAUUAAACCAAUCCAAACGUCUCCUUAGUCUAGUUUUUGAAAGUUUCCGAUUUAUAAUAUUUACUUAAAAAUUAUAUUGAAUGCCAAUAAUGGUAUCAUCACAAUUUUUUUUUUUAUGCAAAUCCAAUUGAAAACUGGGUACCAUUUUUGAAAUGGUUUAGAUAGUUGACUUCUAUAUAAUUUGUUAGCUAGGAGCGAAUCUAAAAUAUUUUUAGAGAAUAAAAUCGAAUUAUAAAAUUUUUUAGAGAUCAAAGUAUAAUUUUAUUAUAUAUUAACUUAUAUUUCAUCGUUUUUGAAGGAAUUAUUUUUUUUGAGGGGUAAAAAUGCACUUUUAUCAUAUAUAACUUUCUAAUUUCAUCGUUUAUAAAAUAAUUAAAAUGUGAGUUUUCAUUUUUUAGGGCUAAAGCCCUUGCCUGCCCUCUUGUAUUUGUCUUUGUUGUUAGUUGCAUGUUUCAUAUACAAAGCUAGUUUAACUCGCUUUGCAAGUGGAUUGUUGGACAACUUGACAUAUUUUGACAUUCGACAUUCUUUUGACUAAAAAAUCUUGUUUUCUUCUAUAUAUCUCUAAGGAUUGUAAGCAGCUAUUUAAUGGAUUAGAUCAUGUUAAAUAUCAAUCAAGUAAUGACUUUUUUUUUUUUAAGAUUUUAUGUGCAGUCAUGUUACCUUAAAUAAAGAUACUUAGUUCUUAUAGAAGCCUAUUUCUUAAAGAUCUUUGCCUAUUUGAUUUCUUAUUAAAGAUUUAUUUAAGCACAAUUCAAAUAAAUACUAAUUCAUACUGAUUGAAGAAUUGCAAGCCAAUAAUAUUUAUUUAACAAAGGUUGUUUGUUUCAGUAUAGCACUGAGAAAGCACUUAUCCAUUCAUUGUUAGGACCUUGUUCUUAGUGUAUAAUUUGUAUACAAACUGUGUUGAUGUGCUACUCGUAGCUAAGCUAAUUUCAAAGAAUUGCAAGCCAAUAAUAUUUAUUUAACUACGUAAUCAACUUUUAUGUUUAUUCUUUCAAUUGUUCAUCCAAUUACCGUGGUGGUUCACCCCAUGAGGGGUACGAAGAGCCACUAGAGUGAGGGCAAUUCACACCGUGGAUGGUGUGAAAAUUCACAAAGAUCGAUAGUUUGAGAGAGUCACUAUAACAAAUUUACUUAUUAGUGGUGCCUAAAAUAUUGUUAUUGCAAAUUAUAUUUAUGUUAUUAUUUAUAUUUUGUGACACAAAAUAGUUGUAUUCAUUACAUUAGGUGUGACAGUAAAAAUUAAUAGUGACAAUGUAUAAUUUUUCAUCAUGUAUUAUUGAGAAUAUGAUGACGAUAACUUAUAAAUCAUCUAAUAGUUAGUAUUUAGUGACAACUUGUGGCAUUAUCAAAUUAUAUAAAAAAUCGUCAUUAAUCAUUUAUAUUGUAGUCAAUGAUGAAAUAACGGAAGCUAUAUUGUAAGAGUGUUAAAAUGACAUAUUAUAUCAUCAUCUAAUAUAAUAAAAUCAUGACAUUAAUGAUGAUAACAUGAAACAUUACUACUUAAUAAGUAUUUAGUGAGAGAUAAUUUUGUCACUAAUAUAUAUACUAUACAUGAGUUCGUCAUUUAUUAUUUUAUUAUAUUAUCACUUAAUAUAAUAAAAUAAUAGCAAUCAAAUAAUUAAUAUCAUUAUACAUAACAUUAUCUUUUGUGCAUAAGUUAAACAAUAAAAUGGUCACACUCGAGAAUUAUGAACAAACAUUUUAUGGUUUAAAUCAUUUCUCAUCACAUAAGCAUACAUUAUUUUUACUUGGUAGUAACCUUUAUUAUACGUAUUACAUUAAAUUAAUUUAUGUACUAUUAAAUGGAUUAAUUUAACCUUUAAAUUAUUAAAAAAUUAAAAAAUAUAAAUUUUAAUAAAUUUAACAAUUAGUAUUUUAAAAAUGUCAUAUAUCGUGUAAAGCUAUCCAAUUUGAUGUUAUAUGUAGUGUUAAUGUUGUCUUAUUUUGAAGAUAUGACGUUGUUCAAUGUGUAUAAACAGGGUAGUCCAUUCUGUGCAUAAUGCGGUGAUCCGAAUAAAUAUAUUAAAAUGUUGCUCGAAAUUGCAUGUUUAAUUAUUGUCUGAAAAUAAAUAUUAAAUUUACUAAGAAUAAAUAUUAAGUUGUUGCUAAGAAGUGCGCAACUAGAAAACUAUCGAAUUAAUGCAUUAAAUUGUUAAUCAAAUUAUAUACUUGGCUAUCGUUUGAAUCAAUAUCUUAAUGGUUAGAAUAUGUAUUUUUAUAUCGUUCGAAUCUUGUUUAUUGUUUCAAGUUGAAAUUUACAAAAAUUUUGUUUGGAGUUAAAAGUGCAAAUAAAAAUAAACAAGUUUCAUUUUUUUUAAAUAAUUAAUAGUAACUCUUUUAAAAUUUAGCUUUCGUUAAUUCCUUUAUUAAUAGUUUAAGGACUAAAAUGGUAUGUAUAAUAGUACGAGGUCCUUCUCUGCCAUCUUUUCAAAUAACAACCUUGCAUCUUCGAGACUACCAAGUUUUGAGUACAUUGAAAACAGAGCGGUAUUCACAGAUAAAUCCUUACUUAAAUCACUAACUAGAACCCAACAAUGAACAGCUUUUCUUGCACUCAAUGAAUGCAAAUCAACACCUGCCCUCAACAAAUUAAUAAUAGAGACCACACUUCCUCUUUGAGAAGCUUCAAAAUCAAAAUUUUCCAACCCAAAUCCUUAACAGGCUUUUCAUCAACCACCUUAUGCUCAAACUCACCACCUCCCCAUUAAAACUCCACCAAAGCAUCACCAACAACCUCAAAUGAACCCAAUAUUGCCAACUGCACAUGAAUGAUGAAGCAUGGACACGGACAUAUAAUACGAGUACGACACGAUACGGUGAUAUAGUAAUUUUUAAAAAGUGAGGACAUGGGUACUGUAAGAUGCAACAAUAAAAAAAUAUUUUUAUUAUUUAUAUAUAUAUUUUAUGUUAAAAUAUAUUAUAUCAAUAAAUGCUACAUUUUUUAGAAAAAAAUAUAUUUUAUUUAACUUGACUUAUAAACAAUAUCUUAUUUUAUUUAACAAGAAUUUGGAUCACACAUACAUUUACUAAUUUAUAAUUAAAAUUAAUUUUUAAAAAAUAUUUUAAAUCUAAUUUAUAUGGGUCUCAUAUAUUUUUAUUAUACUUAAUUUCACUAUUUUUAUAUUAUUAUAAUUUGUUUUUACUUUCUUACCCCAUUAUAAAUUUAUAACUAUAUAAUACAUUAACUAUUUUCUUUUUCUUUUUUAAGUAGACACUCACAUACCCUUUAUUUUCUUCCCCAUUUACCCCUUUUUUCCCUUCUCAUUUACCGUCCUUACCUUUGCCUCAGUAUUUUAUUCUCUGCAAAAAAACCCCAGCAUCAUCAUCUUCGUAUAAGCGAAUCGACUCCAAAGAAGACAGGUAUGUUAAAAAUCCCAUAAAUUAUCACGAUUAAAUGUUAAAGUUCUUUUUAUCUGUUUACUAAAGUUCUAUUCUUGUAUAUGGGUUUUUUUUCUUCUGUUUCUGAUUCAGGCCAAAGUAAAGUCCGGGAGUGUCCUUUUUUGACACGCUUCAAGGUGUGUCUGGUACGUAUCCGGCCGUGUCGGCGGCUUGUCCGUGUCGGACCCCAGUACGACACUGGUGCGAGUACGAGGGGAUUUUCCCCGCGUCGGUGCUUCCUAGCCCAUGAACCAUUUUCCCGCACUCGGCUUCCGGCUAACAAGAACAAGCUGUUAGAACUAAAGAGAGGCUGAGGAGGCCAACGUUGGCAUAGGAAUCGAUAAGAUCAGAGGAAACUGUUGGGUUCUGGUGGAGGUCAUGGAGUAUGAACCUUGCAUGGAUUUGUGGAGACUGGAGAUGACGUUUCUGGGAUAGGUUUAACAGAAGAGGAGAAGAUGCUGCCGAAAUGCCUUGUUUGGGUGAUCAGAAUGUGUGGUAAUUGGAGAGGGAAAGAACUAAGAAAAUAUAUUGAUCAUUGAGCGGAAAGCAUCUUUAACUACAGAGCAUUUGGCGGCUUUAUGGCCAGUGGUGCAGGCCCGUGCACGUUAAAAUUGAAAAUUUUUUAUUUAGUUGUUUUAAAAUUUUAAGUUAAUAAAAAUAAAAUCACAUUCUAACCCCUAAAAAUAAUAAAAAUUUUGAUUCCUAACAAAAUUUUCUUUACUUCCCCAUGCAUAGCAAUCUCAUUAACAUGCUCCUAACACCUUCAAUCAUAUUUUAUGUUGCAUAGAAUAUUUUUAAAAUCAUUUUUUUUAUUUUUAUUUUCACCCUCCCUCCCUUUAUUUAUAGAUAAACUACCUUAGAAUUACUAAAUUAUUAAUAAGUCUAUAUUUCAGUUACUCGACUUAAAAAAAUUAUAAAAUGAUCACUAAACCAUUCGGAAGCUUUUUUUUUAAGUCACGGAUCUAUUCAAAAAAAUUUAUUUAAGUCACAAGGCAAUUAAGUUUUUUUUUCAAAAGUCUUACUAAUGAGCUCCAAGUAAUAAUUUAAUGAUCAGUACCCAUUGACUAGUAAAAUAACAUAUAUUAAAUCCAAUUGAUUGAUAGCUAGUGUUGAACAUAAAAAAAUAAAGUUGUGUGGAUUUUAAUUCACAGAUUCAUGACGUUUAAAAUUGUUUCAUGAAAAAAAACUAAAUUGUAGAAGAGAAGAGGAAAGAUAAGUUUCGAUUGGUGUAGAAAGUGUGAACAGAGAAUGUCAUAUGGCAAUGGUUUUAACAGUCCAAUAAGUUAAAUAAGAACUUUUGAAUAGUUUAGUGAUCAUUUUGUAAAUCUUAAAGUCGAGUGAGCAAAACACAAAUUUACUAAUAGUUUAAUGACUUUGAUUAUAGUUUAACCUUAUUUAUAUUAGUUUUCGGUUGCUUGGUACUGUCGCUUUUUCCCUCGUGAAUGUUGUAAAACACAAUGUUUGAUUGAAAAGAUUCCAGUUCCCUCAUCAAAGCAAUCUUUCACCUUCCGCUUCAAUUAAAGAAUAAUGAAAAUUUUCGCUUUAAUUUUCGUAUAAUUCAAUCUUCCCUCCUUAUUUUCAAGCUCAUUCUUUUGGGCUUAUCGACAUUGCCGCCACUUCUCUCUAGUUGACUCUCUCGGUACGAUUUUUCUGUUUUCCUGUUUGGUUAACGAGAAAAUGCAAGGGAAAGGAAUGUGAAAACAAGUUAAUGUUUUUUUUUUUUUUUUUUACUACUUAGCUCUUGCACAAAACGUUGGUGCAAAUGAAUUCCUACUAAAUAAAGCAUAAUGUAGUUUAAAAGAUGAGUUUUCUUAUUUAUUCAUUUCUCCUUUACUGUGGAGUUUUCGAUUUUGAGGAUUGGUGAAGCUAUCUGAUUACCAAUUGUAACUUUAUGCUCCGUUUGGUUGCUUGGAAAUUGUCGUAUAAGAGAUAUUAGAUUAGGGGCUAAGAUAAUAUUAAUAUCUAUUUGAGUUUAAUUAGAGAAAUACUUAAGGGUUGGUGACUUAGGCAAGGAAACUUAAAAAAAGAAGGAAAAUAGAAUGUGGGAAUUAACAUUUAAUACUGGUAUAAGGUAUGUGCUCAGAGAAAGGUUGCUACUGAAAUGAACAAUCAAGAUGAUGAAUGUUGAAUAUAGUUCAAAUUACCUUUUGUCUAAUACUGAGUUUUAAUGAAAGUGCAUAUAACGCAAUUAGAAACGAGGUUUCUGAAUUUUGGUUUGGCUUGUGAAAGGUUCGUGCUUUACUGGUUUUAUUGUUUUGAUGCCAUAUAGGAAUUCAAACUUCAAAGGUUGCUGGAAGGAUUGUGGUAGUAGAGCAUCACCGUGGAGAUUCGGAAAUGACAGACACCGAUAGAGGAACACAAAGAGACAGGGAUUCAGGUUUUCUGGCUAUCUUAACUCUUGUUUUCUUUUUGGUAUUUGAAGCUUUUACUUUUAAAAUGUGUUGCUUUUGGUUUUAUUUAAAUCAUACAUACACACAUGCAUAGAGAGAGAGAGAGAGAGAGAUCUGUACUUGCACAUGCCUGCCUAUCUUUCAUUUAUCUGCUCAAGCUUCAAGUACAUAUGAAUAAAUAUAAACAUAGCUGAUACAAAAUACUAGUUCAUUUGUUCGUUGCAUAUAUCUACUACCUGCAUUGUUAGCAAUUGUCUACAAAUAGUUGCAAGCAGAAGAAAGAAAUGUGACGAUCCAAGUGGCCGUCUCUGUAUGUGCACUACCGGCUCUCCUCGCAUACUUGAGUUUCUUCUUGGGGAGUUGUGGCAGUGAGAGCAGCAGGUGGAAUGAUGGUGUGUCCUUUGAAUUGUUUCUCCAUAAUUGCCAUUAAGCUAAAAAUUAUAGUCAUAUGCUAGACUAUUCGCGGUUGAAGCACAUCUGAAAUGCGUUAUGCAUCGAUUGUUAUGCUAAUUGCGGAGGGUUGAAUGAUAUGUAGAUGAGAAUAAGUCUUGGUCUGCCUUGCAUUACAACUUUGACUUCGUAUAAGAAGUACUCCAUUUUAUGAAGUGGUAGCAAAGUUGUCCACAAUCAUCUUUUUAUGGUUGUUUUUCAGCUUUUUACCUGUUUAGUCCACCAAGCAAUCAAAUCUUUCUCUCAUUAAUAUUUUGUUGGUCUUGUUAUGGUUGUUGUGUAGCUUUUUACCUGUUCACUCAGCAGAAUCUUCCAGCUUGCAAACCUGUCCUUACUCCAGAAUGGGUGAGAGCACGACUACACUCUUUAGCAUCCAAAAAUUUCCUUAAUCUCUGGUUGAUAUUUUAACUUGCAUUUUAUGAUGUUAACUUUUAUUAAUGUUGAUUAUUACCUAGCUUUAUUUAUGGGUUUCAUCUUCAUUUCUGCAGGUCUUUAUGACAUUUUUGUUUAUAGGUUUCAUUUUCAUUCCUGUUGGCCUUGUUACUCUGCGAGCUUCUCAUAGUGUAAUUGCCCAUUCUUUAGCUCUUGUUAUCUCAUCUGGCUAUAUAUUAUACUUCUUUUCUUGGUUGUUAGGUUGUUGAAAUCGUGGAACGAUAUGAUAUAGGAUGUGUACCUGAGCCAUUUAGAAUCAAUAAGGUUUCAUAUAUCCAGGAUGACUCAAUUCCCAAGAAUUGUUCUCUUUCUUUCAAGGUGAUACUUCGUUUCUACAUUGACUAUACCUUCACCGUGAAAAUUGAAAAUCUAGCCAAGCUAUACCUUCAACCAUUCAUUCUAUGUGAUCACAAUGCAUUAUACUGCAGCACAGACUAUCAUGAAUUGAGUGUCUAGUUCCAGGAAAAGUGAAAUUUUGUGUCACUGGACUUUGAAAUUUACUGGGAACUAAAACCAGUUUAUCUGUGGAAGUGGAGUCCGUUGGAAAGGAAGGGAAAUUGAACUAUUACAUAGUAUUUCUUUCUGUUCCAUAUACUUUGUGAGUCGAUUUUUUUUUGUGGAAUGCUGAGAGAAACAUCUAAUCAGUGCUAGCAUAGGUGCAUUAUUCUUAGUUGAAUACAGGUCGUUAUUAAGCUGCAUAUGACUGCCUUUUUUAACCCUUAUUUUGCAUCAAACAUUUCUUUGUAGGUGCCCAAGUACAUGAAAGCUCCAAUUUACAUUUACUAUCAGCUUGAUAAUUAUUAUCAGAACCACCGUCGGUGCGAAUCUUUCACUUGAUGGGUUUAAAGCUUUGGCUUGAUCAACAUUGAUAAAUUGAUCCAUUUCCCUCAUAUUGUUUAAAUGAACUAUAUAGGGGCUUGUUGCCUUUUACUUUUGACCUUAAAAUAACUAUUCAUGGUUGAGGCCCUGCUUACUAUUUUUCCCUUUUUACCUUAGUUGUUUACUUAUUUGUUAUUUACAAGUUAUUCAAAUAUCAAAUUUUUCUUGCUUUAAUCUUCAUUAUUUUUCCUGCUUGCACUUCACUGGUCUAAACAUUUGCCAGGUAUGUCAAAAGCAGAAGCGACAAGCAACUCUUACACGGACAGAACCAACAUGGCAUAAGUUCAUGUCAACCUGUAGAGGUCAACAAUGAUCGGCCUAUCAUUCCUUGUGGGUUAAUAGCAUGGAGUUUAUUUAAUGAUACAUUUACAUUUAUCCGUAAUAGAGCAGAACUGAAGGUCAACAGGAAGAACAUUGCCUGGAAGAGUGACCGGGAACACAAAUUUGGAAAGAAUGUAUAUCCUUUCAAUUUCCAAAAUGGUACACUGAUUGGUGGUGGGAAGCUGAACCCAAGAAUUCCUGUAAGUAUUAGCUCUUUCCUGAGACAUUCUACUGUGGUCUUGCUGAUUCUUUUGUCUAGCCCGAAAUUAUUUAUUCAGUACUUGACAUACCUGUUCGAAUACAACCAACUAGCAAAUAUCUUUCAAUAACAAGCUUUCUUCUUUUCAUUAUGUUAAUACAGUAUUUGGUUUGAGUAAAGUAUUCAGCUAGAGCUUGAGAUAUGAAAUAAUCUUUUGGCUUUUGGUUUUCUUGCACUUUCUUUUGAUGCCGGUGAAUGAAUGCAUUGUAGCUAAGCGAUCAGGAGGAUCUUAUUGUAUGGAUGCGUACAUCUGCCCUCCCUAGCUUCCGAAAAUUGUAUGGGAGAAUCGAAAAGGAUUUAGAUGUGGAUGAUGUUGUAGUGGUCCACCUAAUGAACAACUACAACACAUACAGUUUUGGUGGUAAAAAGAAGCUAGUUCUUUCAACAACAAGCUGGUUGGGGGGAAAGAAUGACUUCCUUGGUCUUGCAUAUGUCUUUAUCGGUUCUUCUUCGGUUACCAUUGCCGUUGUUUUCACGCUUCUACAUCUACUGUCUCAAAGGUAAAAGCUCAACAAGUAAUAAACAAAAACUUCGAAUUCUCUACACUUUCAUCCAAGUACUAUUAUCUAGCAUUCUUUUUCCUUUUACCAAAUGUUAAAGAGCUGCCAAUUCGACUCCCUGGACAUUCCCUUGUUUUCAGAUUUCUGGAAAUGUUGUAUGACACGUCGCUUUUAUAACGUGCAGGCAUUAAGAAGACACGUGUUAUUUACCAUGGAACUGAACAAACCAUUCAGGGUGAUUCGACUGAUGAAAUUCCGACUGACAUUCUAAACUCCAAAACAGCUAGUGAUUUCAAACCAUAAUCCGGUAAAUCAUUUAGGCUAUUCCCUUUCUGAAUUAGUUACAAAGAAGCUUGUUAUACAUGUUAAUAGAUCAAUAAAAGGAAUAUUUUCAGGACAGUGCUAUAUGUUGUGACAAGUGUAUGCAAAAUAGAUAACUCUCUUUGAAUCUUCCUUUACAUUGAAUACAAUAACGUUAAAAUACCCCUUUUUUUCCGGUAGAAGAGGACUCAGGUUAAGUUGACAAUGGCCUUAUCCAAUAACAAGACUGCGUUUCAUUUGUCUGACUUAUUAUUUUAUUAUCAUCUUUACUUGUAUAUAGCCCUUGAAAGAGACCAGAAUUAACCACAUUGUCUAGACACGUGCAGUUGUAUACACUGCAUUUGCCUCCGUCCGAAUUUGUUUGUCUCAUUCAGACCUCGUUGAAACUUGAUAAGACUUGUCAGUCGUACCGCGUUGAAACUUGAAAAGACUGUUUUAUGACUUUUUCGGUCGAAAUUUGCUAGGCCAGGCCAAGGCAAUGUGGACCGUAGCUAGAACAAAUUUGUUGACGGUUUAUUGAUAGGUAAUAAUCUUUAUAGGCGAAAUGCUUUGCUCAAUAUCUAUGAACUCUUAAGUAUAAACCAUAUAUUUUUACUUUCAAAUUCCAUUUUUUAUCUUCUUAAUCCUUAUCCAUAAGUUAUAGGCCGAAAUUUGGUUGAUUGGUCUUCACAAUCACAGGGGGAUGGACCAGUGAUCUUAUGGCGGAAGUAAGGCAUCCAAUUGCCUCUUCCAUAGGGAAUUUUCCAUGUCUUGUCUUGUCUGGUCAUAAUAAGUAAUUUUUAUAUACAUUUAUAUUAACUUUGGUGAGAAAAAUCCAAUCUGUGUCUCGUGAUUAUUAGAAGUGCCAAGUACGAAAUGAUAUUUUUUCAAUGUCUUUUGGAAAAUUAGAAAAGACCGUUUGCUAUAACAAGAGGAAAAAAACAAGGGUCAACUUUAGAAUGUACAUGGUUUGCUAACGUGGGUUAAUCUCCAUCUUUUAACAUUGGUGUCUGUUCUGGUCUAAAUUAUUGCCAACAAACUGCCAGUCUUUUUUUUGCUCGUUGAUCUUUCCUUAUUUUAAGCACCGUAACACCCCUUAACCCCCUUCCCUAUAUAAUCCAUACUUUGAUCUCCAAGCUCUCCACACCUCAAUUCCUCGAAUAUCAGUAUCCUCUUGAGAUCCUUAACAAUAUUCUCCUUCAACCAUCAAAGCCCAUAGUCAAAAACAGCUUUUCUUUUUUAAUCAAGUUUUAUAGAUGAUGAAAGAGAAGGGAUGCAAGCAAAACCGGGGUGCAGUGGCACCUGCACGCCACGUUUCGAUAAGAAAAUCUUCAACUUAUCCGAGGCUAGAGACCAUUGUUGAAGAAGAGUGUGAAAAUGAGUCAGUUUUCACUAAGAAAAUCUUCCUUUACCUUCCCGUGGUGUUGUCCACAGUUUUCUAUUUCUUGCUAUGAACCUUCUCCAAUGCGUAUUCGUUGCUUGAAAAAUGGAGUUUCAGACCCUGUGCCUCUAAUUUGCUUUGCUUCUCUGAGGCUUCGAAAGGUUUAAGAAUUUUGAGCUCAUUCCUAGAAGCGUUGAAAUCGACAAGCAAAAAAGAUGAAAAGAAUUCAAUGAUUAUGGAAGGGGAGAUAUAUGAUGAAUAAGUUCUAUAGAGCAUUGUAAUAUGUGAGAAUGGGUAGUGUUUGGUCAAUGAUUUUGGGUAAACUUUCUCUGGAAUGUUCCAAAUUUGUAAAUUAUGUUUUCAUUUAACCAAUACAAAUCUCUCAUGGUCUCUAGUUUUUUGAGACUUUCUGAUUUAUAAGCCUUUAUUUUUGACAUUUUGGCCAUUAAUAAUAUUUACUUAAAAGUAUAUUAAAUGCCAAUAAUAGUUUUGUUCCACAAUUUUGGUACAAAUUAGGAUUGAAUCAAGUUUCACUCUAGUUUAUUGAAUGC